AUGCUGCGAUAGAGUGAUUUUGGU
RNAcentral lists this non-coding RNA (24 nucleotides) under Arabidopsis thaliana (thale cress). Lineage: Eukaryota; Viridiplantae; Streptophyta; Magnoliopsida; Brassicales; Brassicaceae. The record is from RNAcentral.